This 380-nucleotide long non-coding RNA is filed under the name Salvia miltiorrhiza (redroot sage). RNAcentral describes it as "long non-coding RNA (SMIL_LNC012566)". Lineage: Eukaryota; Viridiplantae; Streptophyta; Magnoliopsida; Lamiales; Lamiaceae. The record is from RNAcentral.
AAAGAUAACGGUUAAAACCGUUAUAAAAAGUGCAAAAAACUGUUAACUAUGAUAAAAAAAAUAAAAAAAAAAUUAAUACAUAACGGAAAAAUCUUAAUACAUAACGGUGAAAAACCGUUAUGUAUUCUAUCAAAGAUAACGGUUAAAACCGUUAUAAAAAGUGCAAAAAACUGUUAACUAUGAUAAAAAAAAAAAAAAUUAAUACAUAACGGAAAAAUGUUAAUACAUAACGGUGAAAAACCGUUAUGUAUAACCGUUAUAGAUAACGGAUUGGAACCGUUAUGUAUGAUACAUCGUACCGUUAUCUAUGCUACUAUACAUAACGGUUUUGAAACCGUUGUCUAUGACGUAUAGAAUAGAUAACACCACUAUACACAACG